CCUACGGGUGGCAGCAGUGGGGAAUAUUGGGCAAUGGAGGAAACUCUGACCCAGCAACGCCGCGUGAAUGAUGAAGGUCUUCGGAUUGUAAAGUUCUUUUCUAAGGGAAGAAGAAAGUGACGGUACCUUAGGAAUAAGCCUCGGCUAACUACGUGCCAGCAGCCGCGGUAAUACGUAGGAGGCAAGCGUUAUCCGGAAGGACUGGGCGUAAGGGGUGCGUAGGUGGUUUGACAAGUUGGUAGCGUAACUCCGAGGCUUAACCUCGGCACUACUACCAAAACUGUUGGACUCGAGUGCAGGAGGGGCAAAUGGAAUUCCUAGUGUAGCGGUGAAAUGCGUAGAUAUUAGGAAGAACACCAGUGGCGAAGGCGGAUUACUGGACGACAACUGACGGUGAGGCGCGAAAGCGUGGGGAGCAAACAGGAUUAGAUACCCGAGUAGUC
Molecule: ribosomal RNA, 443 nt
Filed under: uncultured bacterium
Lineage: Bacteria
Description: partial 16S ribosomal RNA
Rfam family: Bacterial small subunit ribosomal RNA
Source: RNAcentral